AGCUUUUACGUCAACCAACGUUCUUCACAAACCUGCGCCAGCUCGUGUAUCUGCAAAAGCUUCAGCGACAGUGACUUCAGGAGCUUAUUUCAAUACUGCUUAUUUGUCAACCAACCUUCCUCAACCACCUGCGUCAGCUCGAAAAAUAAUAUCAACAGCUUCAGCGACCUCAACCUCAAGAGCUUCUUUUAAUCCUGGUACCGCUGAUGAGCCUGAAAAAAAAAAUUUAAAUCGACCACUAUUUUAUUAUCGAAGAAAAACAUUGAUUUAUUAAAC
Long non-coding RNA from Microplitis mediator, 276 nucleotides. RefSeq lists it as uncharacterized. The transcript has 3 exons. Lineage: Eukaryota; Metazoa; Arthropoda; Insecta; Hymenoptera; Braconidae. The record is from RefSeq and is a predicted model, not a curated record.